Molecule: ribosomal RNA, 797 nt
Filed under: uncultured Staphylococcus sp.
Lineage: Bacteria; Bacillati; Bacillota; Bacilli; Caryophanales; Staphylococcaceae
Description: SSU rRNA
Rfam family: Bacterial small subunit ribosomal RNA
Source: RNAcentral
CUGACGUUAGCGGCGGACGGGUGAGUAACACGUGGAUAACCUACCUAUAAGACUGGGAUAACUUCGGGAAACCGGAGCUAAUACCGGAUAAUAUAUUGAACCGCAUGGUUCAAUAGUGAAAGACGGUUUUGCUGUCACUUAUAGAUGGAUCCGCGCCGCAUUAGCUAGUUGGUAAGGUAACGGCUUACCAAGGCGACGAUGCGUAGCCGACCUGAGAGGGUGAUCGGCCACACUGGAACUGAGACACGGUCCAGACUCCUACGGGAGGCAGCAGUAGGGAAUCUUCCGCAAUGGGCGAAAGCCUGACGGAGCAACGCCGCGUGAGUGAUGAAGGUCUUCGGAUCGUAAAACUCUGUUAUUAGGGAAGAACAAAUGUGUAAGUAACUAUGCACGUCUUGACGGUACCUAAUCAGAAAGCCACGGCUAACUACGUGCCAGCAGCCGCGGUAAUACGUAGGUGGCAAGCGUUAUCCGGAAUUAUUGGGCGUAAAGCGCGCGUAGGCGGUUUUUUAAGUCUGAUGUGAAAGCCCACGGCUCAACCGUGGAGGGUCAUUGGAAACUGGAAAACUUGAGUGCAGAAGAGGAAAGUGGAAUUCCAUGUGUAGCGGUGAAAUGCGCAGAGAUAUGGAGGGACACCAGUGGCGAAGGCGACUUUCUGGUCUGUAACUGACGCUGAUGUGCGAAAGCGUGGGGAUCAAACAGGAUUAGAUACCCUGGUAGUCCACGCCGUAAACGAUGAGUGCUAAGUGUUAGGGGGUUUCCGCCCCUUAGUGCUGCAGCUAACGCAUUAAGCACUC